UGUUGGUUCCCUUACGAUCAUUGAAGAUAAGCAACAUUGAGCUUAGUCAAUACCUACAUGGGUGACCGCUUGGGAAUACCAGGUGCUGUAA
This is a non-coding RNA of Acanthosepion pharaonis, 91 nucleotides long. NCBI's taxonomy places the organism in Eukaryota, Metazoa, Mollusca, Cephalopoda, Sepiida, Sepiidae. The record is from the annotation of a GenBank genome assembly.